This 72-nucleotide transfer RNA is filed under the name Mormyrus rume. RNAcentral describes it as "tRNA-Asp". It matches the Rfam family "tRNA". Rfam says of the family: Transfer RNA (tRNA) molecules are approximately 80 nucleotides in length. Their secondary structure includes four short double-helical elements and three loops (D, anti-codon, and T loops). Further hydrogen bonds mediate the characteristic L-shaped molecular structure. tRNAs have two regions of fundamental functional importance: the anti-codon, which is responsible for specific mRNA codon recognition, and the 3' end, to which the tRNAs corresponding amino acid is attached (by aminoacyl-tRNA synthetases). tRNAs cope with the degeneracy of the genetic code in two manners: having more than one tRNA (with a specific anti-codon) for a particular amino acid; and 'wobble' base-pairing, i.e. permitting non-standard base-pairing at the 3rd anti-codon position. The record is from RNAcentral. Lineage: Eukaryota; Metazoa; Chordata; Actinopteri; Osteoglossiformes; Mormyridae.
AAGACACUAGUAAAAUAGCCAUUACACCACCUUGUCGAGGUGGAGUUGUGGGUUAAACCCCCGCGUGCCUUA